AUUGAACGCUGGCGGCAGGCCUAACACAUGCAAGUCGAGCGGCAGCGGAAAGCAGCUUGCUACUUUGCCGGCGAGCGGCGGACGGGUGAGUAAUGUCUGGGAAACUGCCUGAUGGAGGGGGAUAACUACUGGAAACGGUAGCUAAUACCGCAUAACGUCGCAAGACCAAAGAGGGGGACCUUCGGGCCUCUUGCCAUCAGAUGUGCCCAGAUGGGAUUAGCUAGUAGGUGGGGUAAUGGCUCACCUAGGCGACGAUCCCUAGCUGGUCUGAGAGGAUGACCAGCCACACUGGAACUGAGACACGGUCCAGACUCCUACGGGAGGCAGCAGUGGGGAAUAUUGCACAAUGGGCGCAAGCCUGAUGCAGCCAUGCCGCGUGUAUGAAGAAGGCCUUCGGGUUGUAAAGUACUUUCAGCGGGGAGGAAGGUGUUGAGGUUAAUAACCUCAGCAAUUGACGUUACCCGCAGAAGAAGCACCGGCUAACUCCGUGCCAGCCGCCGCGGUAA
This 506-nucleotide ribosomal RNA is filed under the name uncultured bacterium. RNAcentral's name for it is "partial 16S ribosomal RNA". It matches the Rfam family "Bacterial small subunit ribosomal RNA", at positions 30 to 523 of the family's 1533-position model. The record is from RNAcentral.